Molecule: long non-coding RNA, 780 nt
Filed under: Mytilus galloprovincialis (Mediterranean mussel)
Lineage: Eukaryota; Metazoa; Mollusca; Bivalvia; Mytilida; Mytilidae
Source: RNAcentral
GCCGCGACGGCUUUUCCUUCCGAGCCAUUGGUUCUAUAAUUUUGAGCAACAAUGCUAAUAUUCAACUGACUAUUUUAUUUUGGUUUAGUUUGGUUGAUUUUUUUUUUUGGCAAACUGCGUGUAGAACCAAAUUUAAAUUUGUUUUCACAAAACAAAACAAAAAUUCCGUGGAUAGUACAUGUGUUACAGUACCAGUCCUUAUUCUGCCUCUGUGUCCAUCCUAUUUUACUAUUAAACCUCACUGUAUUUAUAACAUUGUAUUGACAAAAGUGAGUAAACUGUCAAAUGUCAGAUUUCACGAUACCCAUGUCCAGCAAUGCAGAGUAUGAGUUUUUAAAGUAUCUUAUAUAUUGGCUUAAAUUCAGCAAACUCACGAUAUUUUUUUCAAACAUAAAUGGCAUUUAUUCAGCACCUAUUAAUGUGGCUCAAUGAGCAUACUACCUUACACAACAAUAGCAGAAAACAAUAGAACAUUAUAUUUGUGACAAUGUAUAUAUAUUUUAUGAGUGUAUAUAAAAUUGAUUAACUUGAUUUUCUAAUCUUAUAUGUCUUAUAUUUGUAGUUGAUGUUAUGUGGCUUUGGGGUCAAAGCCAAUUAAGGCAGAGGGGAGAUGUUAUAGAUAUAUUUUGAAAUUCCGAAUUUGCAAAAUAAGAAAUAUAACAGCUUUGCAAACUUUCUUUUAUUAAAUAUUUUAUUUUUUAUUCUCAAAAUGAAUUUGUAAAAGUGGACAAUUUAGAAGAAAAUAGAUUUUACAGAUAUUUGACAAAUAUUGAUAAUUAU